Cordylochernes scorpioides is the source of this 88-nucleotide non-coding RNA. NCBI's taxonomy places the organism in Eukaryota, Metazoa, Arthropoda, Arachnida, Pseudoscorpiones, Chernetidae. The record is from the annotation of a GenBank genome assembly.
UGCCCAGAAGGUGGAAUCUAACCACUCCGCUUUUAAACGGCUACAAGUUUGAAGCCUGUGCACCCCGGACCUCCGAAGUUAUCUGGGC